UACGUAGGGGGCAAGCGUUGUCCGGAAUCAUUGGGCGCAAAGAGCGUGUAGGCGGCUCGGUAAGUCCGCUGUGAAAGUCCAGGGCUCAACCCUGGGAUGCCGGUGGAUACUGUCGGGCUCGAGUCCGGAAGAGGAGUGUGGAAUUCCUGGUGUAGCGGUGAAAUGCGCAGAUAUCGGGAAGAACACCCGUGGCGAAGGCGGCUCUCUGGGACGGUACUGACGCUGAGACGCGAAAGCGUGGGGAGCGAACAGG
This 253-nucleotide ribosomal RNA is filed under the name uncultured bacterium. Its description in RNAcentral is "partial 16S ribosomal RNA". It matches the Rfam family "Bacterial small subunit ribosomal RNA", at positions 524 to 776 of the family's 1533-position model. The record is from RNAcentral.